Molecule: long non-coding RNA, 373 nt
Organism: Fundulus heteroclitus (mummichog)
Lineage: Eukaryota; Metazoa; Chordata; Actinopteri; Cyprinodontiformes; Fundulidae
Exons: 4
Source: RefSeq, a predicted model, not a curated record
UCACACUGAGCGUUGAAACUUCAGUUCAGACGGUUCAAGACCAGCGGGAGACUACAUCAUACGAAGCAGCCCUCCUGAGGGAAAACGGUGCUGAAGGUGCAGAGAUACAACCCCCUAACGCACCUCAAACUGAUCUGCCAGCAACCUCUUCAGACGCCCCUGAUACGAUCCGGAGAAGACGAUCCUUAAGAAAGAGGAAAAGACCCAGUCUCAUUACACUAAGUUCUACCCUCGAGAUAGUCCAGAGAGUAAUUCCGAAGCUCGAGACAAAAGUGAUUACGAUUCGAAGGCUUGCAACGGAAUCUGCAUCGAUUAUUCAACAAAUUCCAUACUGCGGCCGCAGAGGAACCUACUACAGUCGGAGAGCUGAGGA